Molecule: ribosomal RNA, 324 nt
Filed under: Triticum aestivum (bread wheat)
Lineage: Eukaryota; Viridiplantae; Streptophyta; Magnoliopsida; Poales; Poaceae
Description: partial small subunit ribosomal RNA
Source: RNAcentral
AUGAAAAUAAAAAUACAGGUACAAACAAUAGCACAACUUGAGGUUGCAGUUGUUGAGUAUGAGAUCAAACCGAACUUAGUUUCCAUAGUUCAACAUGACCAAUUUGGAGGCUCUACUUCUGAAGAUGCAUGUAUGCACUUGCAUAAUUUUACUGAAUUGUGCAACAUGACACACAUUAGAGAUUAUGACCUCGACGCUUUAAAGUUGCAUCUAUUUCCUUUCUCUUUGAGAGGAAAAGCAAAAGAAUGGCUUCUAGCUCUACCUAGAGGUUUCAAGCAGGAAGAACGUGAGCCACUAGAGCUUGUGUGGGAAAGAAUGAAAUAA